Molecule: ribosomal RNA, 502 nt
Filed under: uncultured Olivibacter sp.
Lineage: Bacteria; Pseudomonadati; Bacteroidota; Sphingobacteriia; Sphingobacteriales; Sphingobacteriaceae
Description: bacterial SSU rRNA
Rfam family: Bacterial small subunit ribosomal RNA
Source: RNAcentral
GAGUUUGAUCCUGGCUCAGGAUGAACGCUAGCGGCAGGCCUAAUACAUGCAAGUCGGACGGGAUUGGGGACUUCGGUCCCCAUGAGAGUGGCGCACGGGUGCGUAACGCGUGAGCAACCUGCCCAUAUCAGGGGGAUAGCCCGGAGAAAUCCGGAUUAAGCCCGCAUGUUACGGAUACCCCCGCAUGGGGGAUGCGUUAAAUAUUGAUAGGAUAUGGAUGGGCUCGCGUGACAUUAGCUAGUUGGAGGGGUAACGGCCCACCAAGGCGACGAUGUCUAGGGGCUCUGAGAGGAGAAUCCCCCACACUGGUACUGAGACACGGACCAGACUCCUACGGGAGGCAGCAGUAAGGAAUAUUGGUCAAUGGGGGGAACCCUGAACCAGCCAUGCCGCGUGCAGGAAGACUGCCCUACGGGUUGUAAACUGCUUUUGUACGGGAAUAACCGCCGGUACGUGUACCGGCCUGAAUGUACCGUAAGAAUAAGGAUCGGCUAACUCCGUG